This 293-nucleotide ribosomal RNA is filed under the name uncultured bacterium. Its description in RNAcentral is "partial 16S ribosomal RNA". It matches the Rfam family "Bacterial small subunit ribosomal RNA", at positions 524 to 824 of the family's 1533-position model. The record is from RNAcentral.
UACGUAGGGUGCGAGCGUUAAUCGGAAUUACUGGGCGUAAAGCGUGCGCAGGCGGUUUUGUAAGCCAGAUGUGAAAUCCCCGGCUUAACCUGGGAAUGGCAUUUGGGACUGCAAGGCUGGAGUUUGGCAGAGGAGACUGGAAUUCCUGGUGUAGCAGUGAAAUGCGUAGAUAUCAGGAGGAAUACCGAUGGCGAAGGCCAGGUCUCUGGGCUAUAACUGACGCUCAUGCACGAAAGGCGUGGGGAGCAAACGAGAUACGAAACCCGACGUAGAUCCGAAGAUACCCAAGUCUC